GAUGAACGCUGGCGGCGUGCUUAAUACAUGCAAGUCGAACGCAUAGCCAAUGGUGCUUGCACCUUUCAAGGUAGUGGCCAACGGGUGAGUACCACGUUGACAACCUGCCUCAAUGCGGGGGAUAACAUUUGGAUACAGAUGCUACUACCGAAUAAAACUUAUUGCCGCAUGACACUAAGUAAAAAGGCGCUUCGGCGUCACCUAUAGAUGGAUCCGCGGUGCAUUAGUUAGUUGGUGGGGUAAAGGCCUACCAAGUCAAUGAUGCAUAGCCGAGUUGAGAGACGGAUCGGCGGCAUGAGGACUGAGACAAGAACAAAAAGCCUGAGAGAGGCAGCAGUAGGGAAUCUGAAACAAUGGGCGAAAGAAUGAUGGAAUAGCGCGAAGCGUGUGAUGAAAACGUUGGGGUCGUAAAGAACUGUUGUAUGGGAAGAACAGCUAGAGUAGGAAAUGAUGUGAGUGUGACGGUACCAUACCAGAAAGGGACGGCUAAAUACGUG
Molecule: ribosomal RNA, 497 nt
Filed under: uncultured bacterium
Lineage: Bacteria
Description: partial 16S ribosomal RNA
Rfam family: Bacterial small subunit ribosomal RNA
Source: RNAcentral